GCGGGUAUAGCUCAACUGGGAGAGCGUCAAGCUGAAGUCAAAACUUCACUGUCUUAUCUGAAGGUCAUGUGUUCCAUCCACAUUAGCCGCA
Molecule: non-coding RNA, 91 nt
Organism: Lasiosphaeria ovina
Lineage: Eukaryota; Fungi; Ascomycota; Sordariomycetes; Sordariales; Lasiosphaeriaceae
Source: the annotation of a GenBank genome assembly